UUUCAGCUUUCACAGGACUGGGUGGGC
Molecule: non-coding RNA, 27 nt
Filed under: Rattus norvegicus (Norway rat)
Lineage: Eukaryota; Metazoa; Chordata; Mammalia; Rodentia; Muridae
Source: RNAcentral